RNAcentral lists this ribosomal RNA (1082 nucleotides) under Litoscalpellum discoveryi. RNAcentral's name for it is "eukaryotic LSU rRNA". It matches the Rfam family "Eukaryotic large subunit ribosomal RNA", at positions 68 to 929 of the family's 3401-position model. The record is from RNAcentral. Lineage: Eukaryota; Metazoa; Arthropoda; Thecostraca; Scalpellidae.
AAUGGGAUUCCCUCAGUAACGGCGAGUGAAGUGGGAUGAGCUCAGCACCGAAUCCGGCUGUCGAAAGGCGGUCGUGACAUGUGGUGUUUGGGAGGGCUCUGUCCGUGUCCGGUGUCGGUCCAAGUCUUCUGGAAAGAAGUUCCGCGGAGGGUGACAGGCCCGUGCGACCGAUUGCCGCGUUCGCGGACGAGUCCUCCUUCGAGUCGGGUUGUUCGCUAAUGCAGCCCCAAGCAGGUGGUAAGCUCCAUCUAAAGCUAAAUAUAACCACGAGCCCGAUAGUCAACAAGUACAGUGAUGGAAAGUUGAAAAGUACUCUGAAGAGAGAGUCAAAUAGCCCGUGAAGCUGCCAGUAUGGGAUUAAGCGCACGUAUGACGCGUGUCGUCGGCCAAAUAGGCGACUGUUGGGUGUGCACACUGCGUGUGACUGGUUGACGCUCGUCNGCUGACGCGUGGUGUUUGGCGUGCCUCGGCAGAACGCUUCCCUUUGGUCGACAUGGACAGGUCGAGGCUUCGUUGUCCAUGGUCUUAUUGCCGGCCGGUAAUUCGCAGAGCCGUGUCGAGCUGUGGCAAUCAGCGACCUCACGGUCGUGCCGCGGUGCUCCGUCGACUAUGCGCUCUACUGUAGCGACGACGGUCGGCCUGGUCUACGAUGCAAUAUGCCGGCCGAUGGCGAACGACCGGGCGACGGCCAGCGCAAAUUCGAARCGUCUAACGUUUCGGCUCGGCCUUUGCGUCGUUAUGUGCGGCCCGUCUUGAAACACGGACCAAGGAGUCUAACAUGUGAGCGAGCGAUUGAGAUUGUCUAAUCUCAAACGCGCAAUGAAAGUAAAGUGUCGUCUGACGGCACGAGCGGAGAUCCACCGUCACUUGUGGCGUGCGGCGCAUCCGCGGGCCGCGCCAUCGGCUGGCUUGCUCUCUUCACUGCUGAGCACUGCUGAGGCGCGGACCUAGAGCCCACACGUUGGGACCCGAAAGAUGGUGAACUAUGCCUGGCCAGGAUGAAGCCAGAGGAAACUCUGGUGGAGGUCCGCCGCGAUUCUGACGUGCAAAUCGAUCGUCUGAGCUGGGUAUAGGGGCGAAAG